Molecule: long non-coding RNA, 791 nt
Organism: Cucumis melo (muskmelon)
Lineage: Eukaryota; Viridiplantae; Streptophyta; Magnoliopsida; Cucurbitales; Cucurbitaceae
Exons: 5
Source: RefSeq, a predicted model, not a curated record
GCCAUGGCCGACGCUCUUGCUGCUCGAUCUUCAAUCCAUGAGUCGUCUUCUUUCCUGUAUCUUUUGGCUUUGGAUUGUUUGUUCAAAUUCUUUUUUCUUUCUGAUUUUGGAUUGUUUGCCCUUCGUAUAGGCCGAAGGAAUCGAGGGGUUUUUGUACGGUGAUAGAUGAGUACCGGAAUCGGUUAUUGAUUCGGUUGAAGGAAUCGAGGAGUUUCCUGAAUUGCCGAUGAAAGCAGAGCUUAUUUCCUCGGAAAUUCCACGAAUUGCACUGAGAACUUCGGAAAGAAGAAAGGCCUUCAAGGAUGGGGCAAGUACUACUCGAUCACAACGAAAAAUUUUGACCACUCUCCAAACAAAUCCUUUCAACCUUAUUUUUCUUCACUACACAUUUCCAAAAAUUUCAUUUCCCUCCUUGGAAAAUCUUCGUGGAUGCUGAAACCUGCGGCUGGGAACCCAUUGUUCUCGAUCAUGUCCAGUGCUGAACCCUCCCAAUGGACUGCUCGGAUCAAGGGUUUAAGGGAGCCAAAUCCUUUCUUAGGAAUGUUUUGGCGAGCAUGGAGGCUGUUUAUCUGAGUCGGAAUUCCACUGAAAAAUCCGUUUUGGAGCUUGUUCGAUCUGUUCAUGAUGAUACAAUUUGUUAUGAUCAUAUUGCAUUUAGAACUUUUGGGGACAUAAUCAGAAAAUACACUGAAUAAUGUUCUUUCAAUUGGAAGAAGCAUGUUCUGCUCUGGCAGGUGUUCUGGGUUCCUUGACAUUCAGAGAUUAAGCAAUUAGCAAGGUUUUUAAUCUCC